Molecule: ribosomal RNA, 422 nt
Filed under: uncultured bacterium
Lineage: Bacteria
Description: bacterial SSU rRNA
Rfam family: Bacterial small subunit ribosomal RNA
Source: RNAcentral
UGAGGAAUAUUGGGCAAUGCCCGCAAGGGUGACCCAGCAACGCCGCGUGGGGGAUGAAUGUCGUAAGAUUGUAAACUCCUGUUAGAGGGGAAGAAUAGUACCGGUUGGACCGGUAUAUGACUGUACCCUCAGAGAAAGCCCCGGCUAACUACGUGCCAGCAGCCGCGGUAAUACGUAGGGGGCAAGCGUUGUCCGGAUUUACUGGGUGUAAAGGGCGCGCAGGCGGGAUAAAAAGUCAGUGGUGAAAUCCUACAGCUUAACUGUAGAACUGCCUUUGAUACUUUUAUUCUUGAGUUCGGGAGAGAGAGACGGAAUUCCAGGUGUAGUGGUGAAAUACGUAGAUAUCUGGAAGAACACCAGUUGCGAAGGCGGUCUCUUGGUCCGACACUGACGCUGAGGCGCGAAAGCGUGGGGAGCAAACA